Long non-coding RNA from Scophthalmus maximus (turbot), 355 nucleotides. RefSeq lists it as uncharacterized. Lineage: Eukaryota; Metazoa; Chordata; Actinopteri; Pleuronectiformes; Scophthalmidae. The transcript has 2 exons. The record is from RefSeq and is a predicted model, not a curated record.
UGUGUGUGUGUGUGUGUGUGUGUGUGUCUCUGUCUGUGUGUAUGCUUGUUUGUAGGAAACGGUAAAGUGAUGGUGGAGGUGAAACAGACCUCGGAUCAGUUUGUACCUGAGCAGAUUGAAGGAGUCGUUCAGGUGAACGAGUUUUCCUGGGGUGAGUUGGAUCCUAAGGAGGAAGAGGAGGGUGAAGAUGAAGACUGGGAUCUGACUGUUUCAUAGACUCCCAGAGGAUUCUGGGUAGUGGUUCAAUAAGUCAGUUUUCUCACUGCAUCGUCAUGUUUUCUUUGAUCUUUGAUACUUUUACAACAACUUUUUUCAAACCAAAUAAAAAUGAACAAAAUAUUGUUUUUAAAAUCAA